This 75-nucleotide non-coding RNA is filed under the name uncultured Sneathia sp. The record is from RNAcentral. Lineage: Bacteria; Fusobacteriati; Fusobacteriota; Fusobacteriia; Fusobacteriales; Leptotrichiaceae.
CAAACAGGGGUGCUUAGGCUGAGAUUAUACCCUUAACCUGAUACAGGUAAUUCUGACGUAGGGAGUUAUGUUAUU